GCUGCUGCUUUUCAAGAGAAUGUUGGACGACAAGGAAAUUAUCCUCAUGGUAUCGAUAUAGUGAAUACAGCUGAUUACUUUGCACUUUCUUCACGUACAAACUCCUAUCUUCACGUUGCCGUCUGCAUUGCUCAAUAUGAUGGCUAUCUUUAUACUUUUGUUGAUCAGCUUCUGAACAACAAAAUCUGUCACUGGGAUAAGAGUUUGAGAGAGCUUGCUGCAAAUGCCCUUUCUUCUCUUGCUAAGUAUGAUCUUGGACAUUUUUCUAGUACCGUUGUGGGGAAAUUAUUGCCUUGCACAUUGUCUUCUGA
RNAcentral lists this unclassified non-coding RNA (311 nucleotides) under Hevea brasiliensis (rubber tree). The record is from RNAcentral. Lineage: Eukaryota; Viridiplantae; Streptophyta; Magnoliopsida; Malpighiales; Euphorbiaceae.